CGUGUAGGCGGUCCGGUAAGUCCGUUGUGAAAGUCAGGGGCUCAACCCUUGAAUGCCGGCGGAUACUGUCGGGCUAGAGUCCGGAAGAGGCGAGUGGAAUUCCCGGUGUAGCGGUGAAAUGCGCAGAUAUCGGGAGGAACACCUAUGGCGAAGGCAGCUCGCUGGGACGGCACUGACGCUGAGACGCGAAAGCGUGGGAGCAAACA
Molecule: ribosomal RNA, 206 nt
Filed under: uncultured bacterium
Lineage: Bacteria
Description: partial 16S ribosomal RNA
Rfam family: Bacterial small subunit ribosomal RNA
Source: RNAcentral